CCUACGGGUGGCUGCAGUUAGGAAUAUUCGUCAAUGGGGGAAACCCUGAACGAGCAAUGCCGCGGGAGUGAUGACGGUCCUUUGGAUUGUAAAACUCUGUUGUUAGGGAAGAAAUAAUUGUAUAGGAAAUGAUACAAUUUUGACGGUACCUUUCAAGAAAGCUCCGGCUAACUACGUGCCAGCAGCCGCGGUAAUACGUAGGGAGCGAGCGUUAUCCGGAUUUAUUGGGUGUAAAGCGUGUGUAGGCGGUUUUAUAAGUCUAGGGUCUAAGCCCGGAGCUCAACUCCGGUUCGCCUUGGAAACUGUAAGACUUGAGUUUGGUAGAGGUAAAUGGAAUUUCUAGUGUAGCGGUGAAAUGCGUAGAUAUUAGAAGGAACACCAGUGGCGAAGGCGAUUUACUGGGCCAACACUGACGCUGAGACACGAAAGCGUGGGUAGCAAAUAGGAUUAGAUACCCGAGUAGUC
This 465-nucleotide ribosomal RNA is filed under the name uncultured bacterium. RNAcentral's name for it is "bacterial SSU rRNA". It matches the Rfam family "Bacterial small subunit ribosomal RNA", at positions 338 to 795 of the family's 1533-position model. The record is from RNAcentral.